RNAcentral lists this ribosomal RNA (511 nucleotides) under uncultured bacterium. RNAcentral describes it as "bacterial SSU rRNA". It matches the Rfam family "Bacterial small subunit ribosomal RNA", at positions 10 to 518 of the family's 1533-position model. The record is from RNAcentral.
AGUUGAUUAUGGCUCAGGAUGAACGCUGGCGGCGUGCCUAACACAUGCAAGUCGAACGGGGUUAAGUGAGUGUUUCGGAUGGAUCUUAACUUAGUGGCGGACGGGUGAGUAACGCGUGGAUAACCUGCCUCACACAGGGGGAUAGCAGCUGGAAACGGCUGGUAAUACCGCAUAAGACCACGGUGCCGCAUGGCACAGGAGUAAAAGAUUUAUCGGUGUGAGAUGGAUCCGCGUCUGAUUAGCCAGUUGGCGGGUAACGGCCCACCAAAGCGACGAUCAGUAGCCGGCCUGAGAGGGUGAACGGCCACAUUGGGACUGAGACACGGCCUAAACUCCUACGGGAGGCAGCAGUGGGGAAUAUUGCACAAUGGGCGCAAGCCUGAUGCAGCAACGCCGCGUGAGUGAAGAAGUAUUUCGGUAUGUAAAGCUCUAUCGGCAGGGAAGAAAGGCCCGCAAGGGAGAUGACGGUACCUGACUAAGAAGCCCCGGCUAACUACGUGCCAGCAGCUGC